GUAAGCCAGCUGCAGUGCAUCCCUUCUCUUAGCUUAUGAUACAUCACUUUGGCACUGUGUAUGGUGCUGAUAUGCUUUUUGGCACUGGCACAAAACUUACAGUAAUUGGCAAGAAUGAUGAAAUCAUACCUCCAGCUGUGGCCAUCUUUUUCCCAUCAAAGCAGGAGAUCCAGCAGAAGAGCAAGGCCACGCUGGUGUGCCUGGCCUCUGGUUUCUACCCUGACCACCUGACUCUGGUCUGGAGGGUGAAUGGUGCGCAAAGGACUGAAGGGGUGGGGACAGACGAGUCCUCCACACGGAAUGGCAGCACCUACUCACUGACCAGCCGACUGAGGAUGCCAGCCUGGGAGUGGUUCAACCCUCUGAAUCGCUUCGAGUGUAUUGCCAAUUUUUUUCAGAAUGGAACAACGCAAUCAGUGAAGAAAUUUAUCUAUGGUGAUGCUGGCUGUGCACUCACAGAAGAAUCAUACAUGCGGUAUGGAAAUUCUCUGAAGCUCACGUACCUCAUCCUCUGUGGCAAAGCCUUGGUCUAUGCAGUUUUGGUGAGUGGUCUGGUGUGGACAGCCAAGACUGGUGUCAAGUUAUCUAGAGAAUAAAUGAAGAGCCCUUGUCAUCACCCCGGCAGGAAUGCAACAAGUUCUCGACCUUUCCAUAGCAAAGUAUCUAUGCUUCUAUGAACUUGAGAAUAUAAUUUUUUUGUAAUUGUCUAUUGUCGUCCUGUGGUUCACUUCAUGGUAAUCACUGGUGAACUUUCCCUGUACUUCCAUAUCAUAAUGGAUCAUAUUUUAUUACAUCAUAUCUUUAAACUAGCACCUUCUUAAU
This is a non-coding RNA of Hirundo rustica (Barn swallow), 822 nucleotides long. The record is from the annotation of a RefSeq genome assembly. NCBI's taxonomy places the organism in Eukaryota, Metazoa, Chordata, Aves, Passeriformes, Hirundinidae.